RNAcentral lists this ribosomal RNA (451 nucleotides) under uncultured bacterium. Its description in RNAcentral is "partial 16S ribosomal RNA". It matches the Rfam family "Bacterial small subunit ribosomal RNA", at positions 28 to 507 of the family's 1533-position model. The record is from RNAcentral.
AGCGAACGCUGGCGGCAUGCCUAACACAUGCAAGUCGCACGGGGGGGCUUCGGCCUCCCAGUGGCGGACGGGUGAGGAACGCGUAGGGACCUGUCGAGGGGUGGGGGAUAACCGCGGGAAACUGCGGCUAAUACCGCAUGACGCCGCGGCGUGACAGCCGGGGCCAAAGGCGAAAGCCGCCCGCCGAGGGGCCUGCGUCCGAUUAGCUGGUUGGCGGGGUAGCGGCCCACCAAGGCGUCGAUCGGUAGCUGGUCUGAGAGGGUGAUCAGCCACACCGGGACUGAGACACGGCCCGGACUCCUACGGGAGGCAGCAGUGGGGAAUAUUGGACUAUGGGCGCAAGCCUGAUCCAGCAAUGCCGCGUGGGUGAAGAAGGUCUUCGGAUUGUAAAGCCCUUUCGGCGGGGACGAUGGUGACGGUACCCGCAGAAGAAGCCCCGGCUAACUUCGUG